UGCAUCGUUCUCCCUUGGUUGGAGAAAACUCAAGUUUCCCAAGUGCAGAAGAAUCAAAAACUAAAUUCUGAGAACAAACAACUCUAUCUUCUUGGUUGGUGGCAAUAAGAUUGAAAUGAAGAACAUUCUUUCAUUCACAUCCUUGCAAACAUGUGAACAGAUAAUCGGCUGCAAUUAAAGUUGAAAUGCUCUUCAAUGCACUAGAAACAACAGAAUUACUUAAAUUUUCAAUUUCCAUUACCUUCUCAACAGUUUGUCUUUCUUCUUUCCCUAGGAUCAGAUCCCUAGGCUCAUGUUGAUUCUUAUUAGCUUCUUUCUUCAGAAUAGAUUCCUCAAAAUUUUCUGUCUCAGUCUCAGCCUUAUCGUUGUGGAUUUUAGCACAUGAAGGCUCAAAAAUCAACUUCAGAUUCUUCAAGUUGAAAAUAAAAAAUUUUGAAGAGAAAACAAUUCCCAAUUUUAUCCAUUCUCAAAUUAAUUGUUGAUCAUAGAAAAGUCUACCAAACCAAUUCAAACUUCCAAAAUAAAAUAAAAUGCCA
RNAcentral lists this unclassified non-coding RNA (536 nucleotides) under Hevea brasiliensis (rubber tree). Lineage: Eukaryota; Viridiplantae; Streptophyta; Magnoliopsida; Malpighiales; Euphorbiaceae. The record is from RNAcentral.